Molecule: ribosomal RNA, 504 nt
Filed under: uncultured bacterium
Lineage: Bacteria
Description: partial 16S ribosomal RNA
Rfam family: Bacterial small subunit ribosomal RNA
Source: RNAcentral
AUUGAACGCUGGCGGCAGGCCUAACACAUGCAAGUCGAACGGUAGCACAGAGAGCUUGCUCUCGGGUGACGAGUGGCGGACGGGUGAGUAACGUCUGGGAAACUGCCCGAUGGAGGGGGAUAACUACCGGAAACGGUAGCUAAUACCGCAUAACGUCGCAAGACCAAAGUGGGGGACCUUCGGGCCUCACACCAUCGGAUGUACCCAGAUGGGAUUAGCUAGUAGGUGGGGUAAUGGCUCACCUAGGCGACGAUCCCUAGCUGGUCUGAGAGGAUGACCAGCCACACUGGAACUGAGACACGGUCCAGACUCCUACGGGAGGCAGCAGUGGGGAAUAUUGCACAAUGGGCGCAAGCCUGAUGCAGCCAUGCCGCGUGUAUGAAGAAGGCCUUCGGGUUGUAAAGUACUUUCAGCGGGGAGGAAGGCGGUGAAGUUAAUAGCUUCACCGAUUGACGUUACCCGCAGAAGAAGCACCGGCUAACUCCGUGCCAGCAGCCGCGGUAA